AUUUAAAAACUCGGUCUUCUGCUGUAUCAGACAUCUAGACGGGCAUUUUCCAACAGAAUUAUGAGAGUCCUCUUAUAGAACUUGAAACCUUCCUUGUAGCCUCAUAUAAAUAUAUAAACAGGUACAAUUCAUUUUACCACUAUAUUUUUAACUCAAAAUGCUCAUACUAUACUUUCAAUAAGAAAUACAAAUAGGCAGGGUGAGGUGGCUCACAUCUGCAAUCCCAGCACUUUGGGAGGCUGAGGCGGGUGGAUCACAAGAUCAGGAGAUCGAGACCAUCCUGGCUAACACGGUGAAACCCCGUCUCUCCUAAAAAUACAAAAAAUUAGCCAGGCGUGGCAGCGGGCAGCUACUUGGGAGGCUGAGGCAGGAGAAUGGCAUGAACCCGGGAGGCAGAGAUUGCAGUGAGCCCAGAUCGCGCCACUGCACUCUAGCCUGGGCAACACAGCAAGGCUCUGUCUCAAAAAAUAAAUAAAUAAAUAAAUACAAAUACAGUAUUUUAUAUUUUUCGUAUUAACUGGCAUGUCUUUCACGUAGCAAAUCCAGUUCAGACCGGGCGCAAUUCAUGUGCUCAGCCACCGCAUGUGGUGAGUGACAGAGACCAUCCUGCAUGUGUGUGCACUUUUUACUGCCUUUUUCUUGACCACAGAUUCUACCUGUUUCUCUGUGUAUGCAGUGAUUAUUUGCUGAGUGUUACACAUUGUAGGUAACAUGUUGAGCACACUCAGGAUCCCUAACCUUCCUCUGAAGCUUUCCAGCUCUUGUUUUAGCAGAUAGCACAGGCACUGCUGGGUCAUCAUGACAUGGGCAGGCUUGGAUUGAUUCGCUGCUGGUGUGGAUCUGUGGAGAGCUCCCAUCCUGCACCCAUCCGAUCUCCCCCUCCUGGACGUGGUAGGAUGGCCAUGCUCCGCCCACACCUGAGCUCUCUCUGAUCUCCCCCUCCUGGACGUGGUAGGGUGAUAUGCUCUGCCCACACCUGAGCUCUCUCCAGUCUCCGCCUCCUGGACGUGGUAGGGUGGCCAUGCUCAGCUCACACCUGAGCUCUCUCCGAGCUCCGCCUUCUGGACUCCGUAGAGUGGCCAUGCUCCACCCACACCUGCGCUCUCUCCAAGCUCCGCCUUCUGGACGUGGUAGGAUGGCCAUGCUCCGCCCACACCUGAGCUCUCGGUGCCACGAUCUGCAGGUGUACUCCACAGGACAAGUGUACUGUGGAAACUAUGAUCCAGGUCAGCAGCCAGUCAUUUCAUAGAAGGUAAACUUCAAGAACAUUCUCUGAAGGGCAGUGAAACUGAGUAAGAUCUAACCACUGUUACCAGCAACCAAGAAAAAUAGGUAAGAAAAUGCAACUAAGAUUUGUAUCAAGUAACUACGGUAAUAAACAUGCAAACUAUCGCUAAGCA
Molecule: long non-coding RNA, 1400 nt
Filed under: Piliocolobus tephrosceles (Ugandan red Colobus)
Lineage: Eukaryota; Metazoa; Chordata; Mammalia; Primates; Cercopithecidae
Description: lncRNA (ENSPTEG00000006455.1)
Source: RNAcentral